Pogoniulus pusillus (Red-fronted tinkerbird) is the source of this 459-nucleotide long non-coding RNA. RefSeq lists it as uncharacterized. The record is from RefSeq and is a predicted model, not a curated record. The transcript is spliced from 2 exons. NCBI's taxonomy places the organism in Eukaryota, Metazoa, Chordata, Aves, Piciformes, Lybiidae.
CCCCCCCCAAAGCCUGCAGGUACCGAAAAGGGCAUCAGCCACACGGGCCAGGGUCUGUGAAUCUGGUCUCCAGAAAGCAAACAGCACCCAGAGCUACAGCUGCAGCUAUAGACACACCUGCGGCACAAGCUCAGCACCUCCCGUCCCACGGCUCUGCUCUCUGCAGCGGGUCCGUGCCUCCAGCAGAGGGAACUUCCACCUCACCCCGGCACCUCCUCACCCGCUCCCUUCCCUGCAGCACCGCUGCCGCUACAAACACGUUCUGCUGACGGAGGUUGUGAAGCGUGGCAGGAGGCCUGCGGCAGCAGCAAGGCUACAGCCUCGUGUAGACUGGUGCCCGCAGAGCACAAAGGCAGGACUGGGUAGUCUGUUGCAAUAAGCAGGUGUAAAUGGAGCAUCUUCUCCAGUCAAGGCUGCUCUCUGGGAAAACGACCUUCUCCCAAAGAGAAGUGAUGAGAC